Molecule: unclassified non-coding RNA, 381 nt
Filed under: uncultured Actinomycetes bacterium
Lineage: Bacteria; Bacillati; Actinomycetota; Actinomycetes
Description: uncultured actinobacterium contains 16S-23S intergenic spacer region
Source: RNAcentral
UCCGAGUUGACCCCGGCAGUCUCCCACGAGUCCCCGGCAUAACCCGCUGGCAACAUGGGAUAAGGGUUGCGCUCGUUGCGGGACUUAACCCAACAUCUCACGACACGAGCUGACGACAGCCAUGCACCACCUGUGAUCCUGCCCAAUAAAGGGAAACCGUGUUUCCACGGCGGUCAGGAACAUGUCAAACCCAGGUAAGGUUCUUCGCGUUGCGUCGAAUUAAACCACAUAAUCCACCGCUUGUGCGGGUCCCCGUCAAUUCCUUUGAGUUUUAACCUUGCGGCCGUACUCCCCAGGCGGUGCGCUUAAUGCGUUAGCUACGGCACGGAUCCCGUGGAAGGAAACCCACACCUAGCGCCCACCGUUUACGGCGUGGACUAC